This 861-nucleotide long non-coding RNA is filed under the name Androctonus crassicauda. The record is from RNAcentral. Lineage: Eukaryota; Metazoa; Arthropoda; Arachnida; Scorpiones; Buthidae.
AUUACAUAAGGGAUGCUACACCUAAGCUAUUAGACAAGGACCCAACUAUACAAGUGAAAACACAAGUAGAUAAGAUAGUGAACCAUAAGUUCUUUCCUGUAGAAUGGAAGCAUAAAAAGAAUUUAGCACCAGCAAGCCCACAUCUAUUUGUUUACGUCAAAACCCACAAGCAACCAGUAAAACCAAGACCCAUUGUCGAAAAAAGAUCAGCCCCACCUAUAAUCUUGAAAGAACUAUAGCAAAAUGGUGCACCAGAAUAUUGGGACAAACUGAAUACUCCACUACAGUAACGAAGGAAGUCCUACAAAGGCUUAAAAACAUCACUUAACAGCCUGAAGACGUAAUGGCAGUAUUCAAUUUCGAAAACCUAUACCCUUCAUUGAGACUCGAACCAGUUUGCGUAGCUUUAUACCACUUUAUGUUGGAAGACAUACAGGGAGCAGAAGAAAGAGCACACAUACUCAGAGAAACUGCAUAUCUUCUAUGCUACAAAUCAUAUUUUACAUUCAGAACCAGAUUUUACCAGCAAACGAGAGGAGUCCUAUAGGCAGCCCCUUAGUGGCACCUAUGGUCGAAAUAGUCUUAAGUAAUGUGGAGAGCCAGGUGAUACAAAGAUAUACCCCAACUUUAAAAAAAAUACAUAAGAUACAUAGAUGAUGUAACGACAGUUUGGACAAAUCAGAAUAACAUGGAAGAGUUUCAGCAAGCCCUAUCACAUGAAGAUCAUGGUCUAAAGAUCAAAUUAUUAACAUUGGAUAACAGCACUUUGGCGCAGUUCUGGGAGGCACUUAUGUUUUAGUGAUUGGACGUGCAAACGUUUUCGGCCUCUCAGCCAUCCUCAGGUUUCGUUCUGUAGUACAG